This 366-nucleotide ribosomal RNA is filed under the name uncultured bacterium. RNAcentral's name for it is "partial 16S ribosomal RNA". It matches the Rfam family "Bacterial small subunit ribosomal RNA", at positions 338 to 701 of the family's 1533-position model. The record is from RNAcentral.
CCUACGGGUGGCUGCAGUGAGGAAUAUUGGUCAAUGGGCGCGAGCCUGAACCAGCCAAGUAGCGUGAAGGAUGACUGCCCUACGGGUUGUAAACUUCUUUUAUAAAGGAAUAAAGUGAGGCACGUGGGCCGUGUUGUAUGUACUUUAUGAAUAAGGAUCGGCUAACUCCGUGCCAGCAGCCGCGGUAAUACGGAGGAUCCGAGCGUUAUCCGGAUUUAUUGGGGUUAAAGGGAGCGUAGAUGGGUUGUUAAGUAAGUUGUGAAAGUUUGCGGCUCCACCGUAAACUUGCAAUUGAUACUGGCAGUCUUGAGUACAGUUGCGGUAGGCGGAAUUCGUGGUGUAGCGGUGCACUGCUUAGAUAUCACG